GACGAACGCUGGCGGCGUGCUUAACACAUGCAAGUCGAACGGAAAGGCCCUGCUUUUGUGGGGUGCUCGAGCGGCGAACGGGUGAGUAACACGUGAGUAACCUGCCCUUGACUUUGGGAUAACUUCAGGAAACUGGGGCUAAUACCGGAUAGGAGCUCCUGCUGCAUGGUGGGGGUUGGAAAGUUUCGGCGGUUGGGGAUGGACUCGCGGCUUAUCAGCUUGUUGGUGGGGUAGUGGCUUACCAAGGCUUUGAUGGGUAGCCGGCCUGAGAGGGUGACCGGCCACAUUGGGACUGAGAUACGGCCCAGACUCCUACGGGAGGCAGCAGUGGGGAAUAUUGCACAAUGGGCGGAAGCCUGAUGCAGCAACGCCGCGUGCGGGAUGACGGCCCUCGGGUUGUAAACCGCUUUCGCCUGUGACGAAGCGUGAGUGACGGUAAUGGGUAAAGAAGCACCGGCUAACUACGUG
This 468-nucleotide ribosomal RNA is filed under the name uncultured bacterium. RNAcentral describes it as "partial 16S ribosomal RNA". It matches the Rfam family "Bacterial small subunit ribosomal RNA", at positions 28 to 507 of the family's 1533-position model. The record is from RNAcentral.